This 533-nucleotide ribosomal RNA is filed under the name Bifidobacterium longum subsp. suillum. Its description in RNAcentral is "bacterial SSU rRNA". It matches the Rfam family "Bacterial small subunit ribosomal RNA", at positions 161 to 708 of the family's 1533-position model. The record is from RNAcentral. Lineage: Bacteria; Bacillati; Actinomycetota; Actinomycetes; Bifidobacteriales; Bifidobacteriaceae.
UGGUAAUGCCGGAUGCUCCAGUUGAUCGCAUGGUCUUCUGGGAAAGCUUUCGCGGUAUGGGAUGGGGUCGCGUCCUAUCAGCUUGACGGCGGGGUAACGGCCCACCGUGGCUUCGACGGGUAGCCGGCCUGAGAGGGCGACCGGCCACAUUGGGACUGAGAUACGGCCCAGACUCCUACGGGAGGCAGCAGUGGGGAAUAUUGCACAAUGGGCGCAAGCCUGAUGCAGCGACGCCGCGUGAGGGAUGGAGGCCUUCGGGUUGUAAACCUCUUUUAUCGGGGAGCAAGCGAGAGUGAGUUUACCCGUUGAAUAAGCACCGGCUAACUACGUGCCAGCAGCCGCGGUAAUACGUAGGGUGCAAGCGUUAUCCGGAAUUAUUGGGCGUAAAGGGCUCGUAGGCGGUUCGUCGCGUCCGGUGUGAAAGUCCAUCGCUUAACGGUGGAUCCGCGCCGGGUACGGGCGGGCUUGAGUGCGGUAGGGGAGACUGGAAUUCCCGGUGUAACGGUGGAAUGUGUAGAUAUCGGAAAAGAACA